This 301-nucleotide ribosomal RNA is filed under the name uncultured bacterium. Its description in RNAcentral is "partial 16S ribosomal RNA". It matches the Rfam family "Bacterial small subunit ribosomal RNA", at positions 509 to 807 of the family's 1533-position model. The record is from RNAcentral.
CAGUCGCCGCGGGAAUACGUAGGUGGCAAGCGUUGUCCGGAAUUAUUGGGCGUAAAGGGCCCGCAGGCGGUUUCUUAAGUCUGAUGUGAAAGCCCCCGGCUCAACCGGGGAGGGUCAUUGGAAACUGGGAAACUUGAGUGCAGAAGAGGAGAGUGGAAUUCCACGUGUAGCGGUGAAAUGCGUAGAGAUGUGGAGGAACACCAGUGGCGAAGGCGACUCUCUGGUCUGUAACUGACGCUGAGGAGCGAAAGCGUGGGGAGCGAACAGGAUUAGAUACCCCGGUAGUCCCUGUCUCUUAUAC